CAAUAGCGUAUAUUAAAGUUGUUGCAGUUAAAAAGCUCGUAGUUGGACUUCUGCGGGUGGCGGCCGGUCGUACCCUUAUGUGGCGUGAACUUGGCUCUUUGCCGCCCGCAUCUUUGGGGAGAUUGUGCGUGGCAUUAGGUUGUCGUGCAUGGGAUUCUCAUCAUUUACUGUGAAAAAAUUAGAGUGUUUAAAGCAGGCCUUUGCCUUGAAUACAUUAGCAUGGAAUAAUAAGAUAGGACCGUUGUCUAUUUUGUUGGUUUACAGAUGUCGGUAAUGAUUAAUAGGGAUAGUUGGGGGUAUUCGUAUUCAGUUGUCAGAGGUGAAAUUCUUGGAUUUUCGGAAGACGCACGACUGCGAAAGCAUUUACCAAGGAUGUUUUCAUUAA
This 385-nucleotide ribosomal RNA is filed under the name uncultured eukaryote. RNAcentral describes it as "partial 18S ribosomal RNA". It matches the Rfam family "Eukaryotic small subunit ribosomal RNA", at positions 592 to 976 of the family's 1831-position model. The record is from RNAcentral.